This 250-nucleotide ribosomal RNA is filed under the name uncultured bacterium. RNAcentral's name for it is "partial 16S ribosomal RNA". It matches the Rfam family "Bacterial small subunit ribosomal RNA", at positions 524 to 773 of the family's 1533-position model. The record is from RNAcentral.
GACGAAGGAUUCAAGCGUUGUCCGGAUUUACUGGGUUUAAAGGGUGCGUAGGCGGAAAUAUAAGUCAGUGGUGAAAUCCCGCAGCUCAACUGCGGAACUGCCAUUGAAACUGCAUUUCUUGAAUACGGUUGAGGUAGAUGGAAUGUAACAUGUAGCGGUGAAAUGCUUAGAUAUGUUACAGAACUCCGAUUGCGAAGGCAGUCUACUAAGCCGUUAUUGACGCUGAGGCACGAAAGCGUGGGGAGCAAAC